GUCGAUACAACCACAACCCGAGCUGCA
This 27-nucleotide small RNA is filed under the name Bombyx mori (domestic silkworm). Its description in RNAcentral is "ovarian small RNA-17777". The record is from RNAcentral. Lineage: Eukaryota; Metazoa; Arthropoda; Insecta; Lepidoptera; Bombycidae.